This 114-nucleotide non-coding RNA is filed under the name Chloropicon mariensis. The record is from RNAcentral. Lineage: Eukaryota; Viridiplantae; Chlorophyta; Chloropicophyceae; Chloropicales; Chloropicaceae.
GGAAAGAAGAAGACAGAGAGAGAAGACAGAGAGAGAAUGUGUAUUACAUCUUUCCAAACUUUCUUUUGUGGUGUUUUUCAAUAAGUAUUAACUUAUUUCUUUCUUCUUCUUCUU